GACAUAGGUCGCAAACGUUAUCCGGAAUUAUUGGGCGUAAAGGAUGCGUAGAUGGUUCAAUAAGUUACUGGUGGGAAAUCGAGGCUCAACCUCGUGGAAGUCAGUAAUACUGUUGAACUUGAGUGCAGGAGAGGUUAACGGAACUUUAUGUGGAGCGGUAAAAUGCGUAGAUAUAUGAAAGAACAUCAAUAUGGCGAAGGCAGUUAACUAUUCUGUUACUGACGGUGAGGCAUGAAAGCGUGGGGAGCAAAACGG
This 255-nucleotide ribosomal RNA is filed under the name uncultured bacterium. RNAcentral's name for it is "partial 16S ribosomal RNA". It matches the Rfam family "Bacterial small subunit ribosomal RNA", at positions 524 to 776 of the family's 1533-position model. The record is from RNAcentral.